AUUGAACGCUGGCGGCAGGCCUAACACAUGCAAGUCGAGCGAGCGGCGGACGGGUGAGUAAUGUCUGGGAAACUGCCUGCUGGGGGGGGAUAACUACUGUAAACGGUAGCUAAUACCGCAUACCCUCAGAUGUGCCCAGAUGGGAUGAGCUAGUAGGUGGGGUAACGGCUCACCCAGGCGACGAUCCCUAGCUGGGCUGAGAGGAUGACCAGCCACACUGGAACUGAGACACGGUCCAGACUCCUACGGGAGGCAGCAGUGGGGAAUAUUGCACAAUGGGCGCAAGCCUGAUGCAGCCAUGCCGCGUGUGUGAAGAAGGCCUUCGGGUUGUAAAGCACUUUCAGCGGGGAGGCGUUACCCGCAGAAGAAGCACCGGCUAACUCCGUGCCAGCCGCCGCGGUAAUUC
This 406-nucleotide ribosomal RNA is filed under the name uncultured bacterium. RNAcentral describes it as "partial 16S ribosomal RNA". It matches the Rfam family "Bacterial small subunit ribosomal RNA", at positions 30 to 526 of the family's 1533-position model. The record is from RNAcentral.